GGUGCCUGCCUUAUUAUUGAUGGCUGCCAUGAAAUUUGCAGAAGAAUCAAUUGAAAUGUCUUGGAUUGAUGCAUCUUGCUCUGGAAUCUAUUUGUUUAAAAGCUGAUGUAAUGGAAUGAAAAAGUAUUGAUCCCUAUGCAAGCAAGGUGCACCUUAGAAUCAGUUUCAGUUGCAUUAUUACUAUAAAACUAAAACCUACCAGAUAUGGAUGACACCACUCUGAUCGCCUACCAAUAAUUCUCCUUGGUUUGGAUGCAAGCAAACACAAUUUACAGGAGCUGUGACUUGAAAUAUUCUAGAGCAUUAGUCAUCACCUCAGGUCCCAAACUCUCGCAGAACAGUCCUCUCCUCCAGUGUACAUCCAAUGUCCAUCUUCAUGAAAACCAACAGCCGUAACAUUUCGCGAUAUACCUUCGUAAUUAACUAUGGGAUUCGGAUU
This is a long non-coding RNA of Daphnia carinata, 439 nucleotides long. RefSeq lists it as uncharacterized. The transcript is spliced from 3 exons. The record is from RefSeq and is a predicted model, not a curated record. Lineage: Eukaryota; Metazoa; Arthropoda; Branchiopoda; Diplostraca; Daphniidae.